This 511-nucleotide ribosomal RNA is filed under the name uncultured Ferribacterium sp. Its description in RNAcentral is "bacterial SSU rRNA". It matches the Rfam family "Bacterial small subunit ribosomal RNA", at positions 1 to 522 of the family's 1533-position model. The record is from RNAcentral. Lineage: Bacteria; Pseudomonadati; Pseudomonadota; Betaproteobacteria; Rhodocyclales; Azonexaceae.
UAGAGUUUGAUCCUGGCUCAGAUUGAACGCGGCGGUAUGCUUUACACAUGCAAGUCGAACGGGCUUAGGGGCUUGCUCUAAGUUAGUGGCGAACGGGUGAGUAAUAUAUCGGAACAUAUCCGGAAGUGGGGGAUAACGUAGCGAAAGUUACGCUAAUACCGCAUAUGCCCUGAGGGGGAAAGCGGGGGAUCGCAAGACCUCGCGCUAUUGGGGUGGCCGAUGGCGGAUUAGCUAGUAGGUGAGGUAAAGGCUCACCUAGGCGACGAUCCGUAGCGGGUCUGAGAGGACGACCCGCCACACUGGAACUGAGACACGGUCCAGACUCUACGGGAGGCAGCAGUGGGGAAUUUUGGACAAUGGGCGAAAGCCUGAUCCAGCCAUACCGCGUGAGUGAAGAAGGCCUUCGGGUUGUAAAGCUCUUUCAGCCGGAAAGAAAUCGUAUCUAUUAAUACUAGAUGCGGAUGACGGUACCGGAAGAAGAAGCCCGGCUAAUCGUGCCGCAGCCGCGGUA